UACGGAAGGCAGCAGUGGGGAAUAUUGCACAAUGGGCGCAAGCCUGAUGCAGCCAUGCCGCGUGUAUGAAGAAGGCCUUCGGGUUGUAAAGUACUUUCAGUCGUGAGGAAGGUGUUAAGGUUAAUAACCUUAGCAAUUGACGUUAGCGACAGAAGAAGCACCAGCUAACUCCGUGCCAGCAGCCGCGGUAAUACGGAGGGUGCGAGCGUUAAUCGGAAUUACUGGGCGUAAAGGGCACGCAGGCGGUUAAUUAAGUUGGAUGUGAAAUCCCCGGGCUUAACCUGGGAAUGGCAUUCAAGACUGGUUAGCUAGAGUCUUGUAGAGGGGGUUAGAAUUCCAUGUGUAGCGGUGAAAUGCGUAGAGAUGUGGAGGAAUACCGGGUGGCGAAGGCGGGCCCCUGGGACAAAGACUGACGCUCAUGUGCGAAAGCGUGGGGAGCAAACGAGGAUUAGGAUACC
RNAcentral lists this ribosomal RNA (458 nucleotides) under uncultured bacterium. Its description in RNAcentral is "bacterial SSU rRNA". It matches the Rfam family "Bacterial small subunit ribosomal RNA", at positions 340 to 786 of the family's 1533-position model. The record is from RNAcentral.